GUACCGUACGAACGUUAUUCGGAAUCACUGGGGCUUAAAGGGGUGCGUAGGCGGCGCGGUCAGUUGGGUGUGAAAUCCCUCGGCUCAACCGAGGAACUGCGCCCAAUACUGCCGCACUCGAGGGAGACAGAGGUAAGCGGAACUGAUGGUGGAGCGGUGAAAUGCGUUGAUAUCAUCAGGAACACCAGUGGCGAAAGCGGCUUACUGGGUCUCUUCUGACGCUGAGGCACGAAAGCUAGGGUAGCGAACGGGAUUAGAUACCCCGGUAGUCCUAGCUGUAAACGAUGAGCACUUGGUCGGAGGCUCCUCCAUAGGCUUCCGGUCGUAGCGAAAGUGUUAAGUGCUCCGCCUGGGGAGUAUGGUCGCAAAGGCUG
This 374-nucleotide ribosomal RNA is filed under the name uncultured organism. Its description in RNAcentral is "partial 16S ribosomal RNA". It matches the Rfam family "Bacterial small subunit ribosomal RNA", at positions 527 to 896 of the family's 1533-position model. The record is from RNAcentral.